CCUACGGGCGGCUGCAGUGGGGAAUAUUGGACAAUGGGCGAAAGCCUGAUCCAGCCAUGCCGCGUGUGUGAAGAAGGCCUUCGGGUUGUAAAGCACUUUCAGUGGGGAAGAAAGCCUUGGGGCUAAUACCCUCGAGGAAGGACAUCACCCACAGAAGAAGCACCGGCUAACUCCGUGCCAGCAGCCGCGGUAAUACGGAGGGUGCGAGCGUUAAUCGGAAUUACUGGGCGUAAAGCGCGCGUAGGCGGUCUGAUAAGCCGGUUGUGAAAGCCCCGGGCUCAACCUGGGAACGGCAUCCGGAACUGUCAGGCUAGAGUGCAGGAGAGGAAGGUAGAAUUCCCGGUGUAGCGGUGAAAUGCGUAGAGAUCGGGAGGAAUACCAGUGGCGAAGGCGGCCUUCUGGACUGACACUGACGCUGAGGUGCGAAAGCGUGGGUAGCAAACAGGAUUAGAUACCCUAUAGUC
RNAcentral lists this ribosomal RNA (464 nucleotides) under Vreelandella stevensii. RNAcentral describes it as "partial 16S ribosomal RNA". It matches the Rfam family "Bacterial small subunit ribosomal RNA", at positions 338 to 795 of the family's 1533-position model. The record is from RNAcentral. Lineage: Bacteria; Pseudomonadati; Pseudomonadota; Gammaproteobacteria; Oceanospirillales; Halomonadaceae.